GGAGGAGGGAGGGGCGGAGACCAGAGGAUGGGAGGGAGGGCCAGGGUGGGAAAGGCGGCCGCAGUUCACCAAGGGUCACGUCGGGCGGGCCCGCAGCUCCUCGGAUCCCGGCUAAGGAAGCGAGGGAAGCGGGAAUUCAGGGCUGCCUCUUCCAGGAGGCCCGCUGCCGAGAGGCUGAGCGCCGCCGGGGCCACGCAUUCCCAGCAGCUGGGAUGAAGCCUUCCCAGCGAGGAGUUGGAGUUGCAGUGAGAAAACUCCCCGAGAGAUCCAAAGCCACUGGACCAGGUCACCUAAGGACAUGAUAUAGGAGUUUGGUGGCACCCUAGAGCCUUUCUUUGGACUCCUCUAACAAUUCCUCCAGGGGAUCGAACUCGGGUCCUUGCGCUUGCGCAGCAAGAAGCGAAACCGCUGAGCUAAAUCCCCGGCCCAUAAAACAUCAUUCUUUACAAGAUAUAAAUUAUCCAUAUUGCUCAUAAGAUAAAAGGCAUGUUUUUGUUUCAAGUGCAUAAUCUUCUAAACCAAUAUGUGUGAAAAAUUGUUCUUGGAGCUUAUGAUAUAUAUACUUGAGAUGAAGUGGAUGAUACAGCAGUGACAUUGUGACUGAGGAGUCUGCUCCUCUUCUGAAUAGUCUCAUGAAGAUUCCUGAAUGGGAAAUUGCUGCCAGAAAUUAAAGCCUAGUUCACUAAGAAAAUUGAAGGAAUCUGAGAAGACCUUCCAUGGACCUACUGUUCACCGUCAAAUUUACCUCAACUUCCAGCAUCUGUCCACACACAAACCAUCUUCAUACUUACAAUCAAUUUUUCUCCUUUUGCUAAAGCUAGACUUCUUUCUUGUGCUCAAGAUCCCAUGUCAUCUCAC
This 858-nucleotide long non-coding RNA is filed under the name Heterocephalus glaber (naked mole-rat). Its description in RNAcentral is "lncRNA (ENSHGLG00000049241.1)". Lineage: Eukaryota; Metazoa; Chordata; Mammalia; Rodentia; Bathyergidae. The record is from RNAcentral.